CAUGUGUAGCGGUGAAAUGCGUAGAUAUAUGGAAGAACACCAGUGGCGAAGGCGGCUGUCUGGUCUGUAACUGACGCUGAGGCUCGAAAGUAUGGGUAGCAAACAGGAUUAGAUACCCUGGUAGUCCAUACCGUAAACGAUGAAUGCUAAGUGUUGGAGGGUUUCCGCCCUUCAGUGCUGCAGCUAACGCAUUAAGCAUUCCGCCUGGGGAGUACGGCCGCAAGGCUGAAACUCAAAGGAAUUGACGGGGGCCCGCACAAGCGGUGGAGCAUGUGGUUUAAUUCGAAGCUACGCGAAGAACCUUACCAGGUCUUGACAUACUAUGCAAAUCUAAGAGAUUAGACGUUCCCUUCGGGGACAUGGAUACAGGUGGUGCAUGGUUGUCGUCAGCUCGUGUCGUGAGAUGUUGGGUUAAGUCCCGCAACGAGCGCAACCCUUAUUAUCAGUUGCCAGCAUUAAGUUGGGCACUCUGGUGAGACUGCCGGUGACAAACCGGAGGAAGGUGGGGAUGACGUCAAAUCAUCAUGCCCCUUAUGACCUGGGCUACACACGUGCUACAAUGGAUGGUACAACGAGUUGCGAACUCGCGAGAGUAAGCUAAUCUCUUAAAGCCAUUCUCAGUUCGGAUUGUAGGCUGCAACUCGCCUACAUGAAGUCGGAAUCGCUAGUAAUCGCGGAUCAGCAUGCCGCGGUGAAUACGUUCCCGGGCCUUGUACACACCGCCCGUCACACCAUGAGAGUUUGUAACACCCAAAGUCGGUGGGGUA
Molecule: ribosomal RNA, 767 nt
Filed under: Lactiplantibacillus plantarum
Lineage: Bacteria; Bacillati; Bacillota; Bacilli; Lactobacillales; Lactobacillaceae
Description: bacterial SSU rRNA
Rfam family: Bacterial small subunit ribosomal RNA
Source: RNAcentral